GACGAACGCUGGCGGCGUGCCUAAUACAUGCAAGUAGAACGCUGAAGGAGGAGCUUGCUUCUCUGGAUGAGUUGCGAACGGGUGAGUAACGCGUAGGUAACCUGCCUGGUAGCGGGGGAUAACUAUUGGAAACGAUAGCUAAUACCGCAUAACAGUAGAUAUCGCAUGAUAUCUACUUGAAAGGUGCAAUUGCAUCACUACCAGAUGGACCUGCGUUGUAUUAGCUAGUUGGUGGGGUAACGGCUCACCAAGGCGACGAUACAUAGCCGACCUGAGAGGGGGACCGGCCACACGGGGACUGAAACACGGCCCAGACUCCUACGGGAGGAAGCGGUGGGGAAUUUUCGGCAAUGGACGGAAGUCUGACGGAGAAAGGCCGGGUGAGGGAAGAAGGUUUUGGGAUCGUAAAGCUCUGUUGUAAGGGAAAAAAGGGUGGGAAAGGGGAAAGUGCAAAAGGGAAGGGAAUUUAACAAAAAAGGGACGGCAAACUACGG
RNAcentral lists this ribosomal RNA (494 nucleotides) under uncultured bacterium. Its description in RNAcentral is "partial 16S ribosomal RNA". It matches the Rfam family "Bacterial small subunit ribosomal RNA", at positions 28 to 506 of the family's 1533-position model. The record is from RNAcentral.